Molecule: non-coding RNA, 24 nt
Filed under: Arabidopsis thaliana (thale cress)
Lineage: Eukaryota; Viridiplantae; Streptophyta; Magnoliopsida; Brassicales; Brassicaceae
Source: RNAcentral
GGACACGGAAGCUUUGAUGGCGGA